This 297-nucleotide ribosomal RNA is filed under the name uncultured bacterium. Its description in RNAcentral is "partial 16S ribosomal RNA". It matches the Rfam family "Bacterial small subunit ribosomal RNA", at positions 775 to 1067 of the family's 1533-position model. The record is from RNAcentral.
GGAUUAGAUACCCUGGUAGUCCACGCCGUAAACGAUGUGUGCUGGCCGUCGGGUAGCUUGCUAUUCGGUGGCGUAAGCUAACGCGUUAAGCACACCGCCUGGGGAGUACGGUCGCAAGAUUAAAACUCAAAGGAAUUGACGGGGGCCCGCACAAGCGGUGGAGCAUGUGGUUUAAUUCGAAACAACGCGCAGAACCUUACCAGCCCUUGACAUGGAGCGUAUGGUCUUUGGAGACAGAGUCCUUCAGUUCGGCUGGCGCUCACACAGGUGCUGCAUGGCUGUCGUCAGCUCGUGCCG